Molecule: ribosomal RNA, 336 nt
Filed under: Triticum aestivum (bread wheat)
Lineage: Eukaryota; Viridiplantae; Streptophyta; Magnoliopsida; Poales; Poaceae
Description: partial small subunit ribosomal RNA
Source: RNAcentral
AUGCAUCGGGGCGGCGUGCUCCUCGCGCAAGGGCGAAGCAGAGGAGGCGAGCAGGGUAGCGGGCAGCUUCGCUGGCGUCGGAACUCGACGGAGAUGAAGCAUGCGAGGUGGGAGAGGGUCCUGGCCUCGUGGGGGUCGGGAACGGGCGCGGCGGCGCCGAUUUCCUCCAGAUCUGGCGCGACGACAUCGGACGCUGACGAGGGCACCCGGCAGGGUGGUUGCUUCCACGAGCACCAUGAGAGAACUCCUGAGAAAGAGAAAACAGAGAGACAUGAGGCAGGGAGGAAGAAGAAAACCGAUGGGAGGAAGGGAGCGAGCGGCAGGGCUCAUCUGUAG